GAUGAACGCUGACAGAAUGCUUAACACAUCAGCAAUUGAUUGACGGCAGACGGGUGAGUAACGCGUGAAGAAGUUGCCUCACAGGUAGGGACAAUAAUUGGAGACGAAUGCUAAUACCUACUCCUGUGAGAGAGCUUUGCGUCGCAUUAGCUAGUUGGUGAGGUAACGGCUCACCAAGGCGAUGAUGGGUAGCCGGCCUGAGAGGGUGAUCAGCCACAAGGGGCGUGGGACACGAGCCGUACUCUUACGGGAGGGAGCAGUGGGGAAUAUUGGACGAUGGACAAAAGUCUGAUCCAGACAUUCUGGGUGAACGGUGAAUUUUUCGGAAUGAAAAGGGAUUUCUGUUGGGAAGCGUUACCAACAGAAGAAGCGACGGCUAAAUACGUGCCAGCAGCCGCGGUAAUAC
Molecule: ribosomal RNA, 406 nt
Filed under: uncultured bacterium
Lineage: Bacteria
Description: partial 16S ribosomal RNA
Rfam family: Bacterial small subunit ribosomal RNA
Source: RNAcentral